AACAGGAUUAGAUACCCUGGUAGUCCACGCCCUAAACGAUGUCAACUAGCUGUUGGGGCCUUCGGGCCUUGGUAGCGCAGCUAACGCGUGAAGUUGACCGCCUGGGGAGUACGGUCGCAAGAUUAAAACUCAAAGGAAUUGACGGGGACCCGCACAAGCGGUGGAUGAUGUGGAUUAAUUCGAUGCAACGCGAAAAACCUUACCUACCCUUGACAUGUCUGGAAUUCCGAAGAGAUUUGGAAGUGCUCGCAAGAGAACCGGAACACAGGUGCUGCAUGGCUGUCGUCAGCUCGUGUCGUGAGAUGUUGGGUUAAGUCCCGCAACGAGCGCAACCCUUGUCAUUAGUUGCUACGAAAGGGCACUCUAAUGAGACUGCCGGUGACAAACCGGAGGAAGGUGGGGAUGACGUCAAGUCCUCAUGGCCCUUAUGGGUAGGGCUUCACACGUCAUACAAUGGUCGGGACAGAGGGUCGCCAACCCGCGAGGGGGAGCCAAUCCCAGAAACCCGAUCGUAGUCCGGAUCGCAGUCUGCAACUCGACUGCGUGAAGUCGGAAUCGCUAGUAAUCGCGGAUCAGCAUGUCGCGGUGAAUACGUUCCCGGGUCUUGUACACACCGCCCGUCACACCAUGGGAGUGGGUUUUACCAGAAGUAGUUAGCCUAACCGCAAGGGGGGCGAUUACCACGGUAGGAUUCAUGACUGGGGUGAAGUCGUAACAAGGUAACC
This 725-nucleotide ribosomal RNA is filed under the name uncultured bacterium. Its description in RNAcentral is "bacterial SSU rRNA". It matches the Rfam family "Bacterial small subunit ribosomal RNA", at positions 771 to 1501 of the family's 1533-position model. The record is from RNAcentral.